UGGGGAAUUUUGGACAAUGGGGGAAACCCUGAUCCAGCCAUCCCGCGUGUGCGAUGAAGGCCUUCGGGUUGUAAAGCACUUUUGGCAGGAAAGAAACGUCGCGGGUUAAUACCCCGCGAAACUGACGGUACCUGCAGAAUAAGCACCGGCUAACUACGUGCCAGCAGCCGCGGUAAUACGUAGGGUGCAAGCGUUAAUCGGAAUUACUGGGCGUAAAGCGUGCGCAGGCGGUUCGGAAAGAAAGAUGUGAAAUCCCAGAGCUUAACUUUGGAACUGCAUUUUUAACUACCGGGCUAGAGUGUGUCAGAGGGAGGUGGAACUCCGCGUGUAGCAGUGAAAUGCGUAGAUAUGCGGAGGAACACCGAUGGCGAAGGCAGCCUCCUGGGAUAACACUGACGCUCAUGCACGAAAGCGUGGGGAGCAAACAGGAUUAGAUACCCUGGUAGUCCACGCCCUAAACGAUGUCAACUAGCUGUUGGGGCCUUCGGGCCUUGGUAGCGCAGCUAACGCGUGAAGUUGACCGCCUGGGGGAGUACGGUCGCAAGAUUAAAAAGCUUAAAUGAAUUGAC
RNAcentral lists this ribosomal RNA (569 nucleotides) under uncultured bacterium. RNAcentral describes it as "partial 16S ribosomal RNA". It matches the Rfam family "Bacterial small subunit ribosomal RNA", at positions 355 to 914 of the family's 1533-position model. The record is from RNAcentral.